RNAcentral lists this ribosomal RNA (497 nucleotides) under uncultured bacterium. RNAcentral's name for it is "partial 16S ribosomal RNA". It matches the Rfam family "Bacterial small subunit ribosomal RNA", at positions 28 to 507 of the family's 1533-position model. The record is from RNAcentral.
GAUGAACGCUGGCGGCGUGCCUAAUACAUGCAAGUCGAGCGAACAGACGAGGAGCUUGCUCCUCUGACGUUAGCGGCGGACGGGUGAGUAACACGUGGAUAACCUACCUAUAAGACUGGGAUAACUUCGGGAAACCGGAGCUAAUACCGGAUAAUAUAUUGAACCGCAUGGUUCAAUAGUGAAAGACGGUUUUGCUGUCACUUAUAGAUGGAUCCGCGCCGCAUUAGCUAGUUGGUAAGGUAACGGCUUACCAAGGCAACGAUGCGUAGCCGACCGGAGAGGGUGAUCGGCCACACUGGAACUGAGACACGGUCCAGACUCCUACGGGAGGCAGCAGUAGGGAAUCUUCCGCAAUGGGCGAAAGCCUGACGGAGCAACGCCGCGUGAGUGAUGAAGGUCUUCGGAUCGUAAAACUCUGUUAUUAGGGAAGAACAAAUGUGUAAGUAACUAUGCACGUCUUGACGGUACCUGAUCAGAAAGCCACGGCUAACUACGUG